Non-coding RNA from Phrynosoma platyrhinos (Desert horned lizard), 72 nucleotides. NCBI's taxonomy places the organism in Eukaryota, Metazoa, Chordata, Lepidosauria, Squamata, Phrynosomatidae. The record is from the annotation of a GenBank genome assembly.
GCCUGCAUGGUGUAGUGGUUUGAAUGUUGGACUAGGACUCUGAAGACCAGGGUUCAAAUCCCGGCUUGGCCA